AUAUUUGUCGGGUUAAUUCCGUUAAAGAACGAGACCACAGCCUACUAAAUAGUAAGUGUUAUGGUAACAUAGUAUGAGACUUCUUAGAGGGACAUUUCGGGUUUACCGAAAGGAAGUUUGUGGCAAUAACAGGUCUGGGAUGCCCCUAGAUGUUCUGGGCCGCACGCGCGCUACACUGACGACUUCAACAAGUUUUUUGGCAUUGCCAAAUUUCCUUGGCCGGAAGGUCUGGGUAAUCUUUUAAAAGGUCGUCGUGAUGGGGCUAGAUUCUUGCAAUUAUUAAUCUCCAACGAGGAACC
This 299-nucleotide ribosomal RNA is filed under the name Thraustochytriidae sp. RNAcentral's name for it is "Thraustochytriaceae sp. partial small subunit ribosomal RNA". It matches the Rfam family "Eukaryotic small subunit ribosomal RNA", at positions 1307 to 1610 of the family's 1831-position model. Lineage: Eukaryota; Bigyra; Thraustochytrida; Thraustochytriidae. The record is from RNAcentral.